UCAAGAGUUAUUCCGGAGCCGGGGGAGACUUUGGCUGCUGCCUCUGUGCCAGGCUGGUCGGGACGGAGCCCAGACGCCUGCACGGAGGAGUUCAGGGUGGGGCAGCUUAUAAGAUCAGGUAGGAUGAAACACCCCCUUCCCAGGUCCCCACCCUCCUGUCCCAGACUGGGGCUCGCGUGGCUGGGAGCCAGGCAUCGGCUGAUGUCUCCCUUUGUUUUGCAGCAAGGAGAAGGUUCAGCCUGGGAGCCGCCGCAUCCCAGGAGGGACUGGAGCUGAGACAACGGCCUCUCGCCUCACAGGGUAUGGCUUCUGCACCACUGUGGCUGCUGUUGAAGCCCCCUCC
Podarcis raffonei (Aeolian wall lizard) is the source of this 343-nucleotide long non-coding RNA. RefSeq lists it as uncharacterized. The transcript has 2 exons. The record is from RefSeq and is a predicted model, not a curated record. NCBI's taxonomy places the organism in Eukaryota, Metazoa, Chordata, Lepidosauria, Squamata, Lacertidae.